This 1908-nucleotide long non-coding RNA is filed under the name Homo sapiens (human). Its description in RNAcentral is "HSALNT0301917". The record is from RNAcentral. Lineage: Eukaryota; Metazoa; Chordata; Mammalia; Primates; Hominidae.
CCCUUAGUAUUGUAAUUAUUUUAAUAAUUAUAGUGCACUAUUGAAAUAAAAACACAUUUCCUCUUUCUCUGCCACUUUUUUGGUGUAAUGGGACAUUCAGAGCUUGAAAGAAACCACCACAUAAGUAGUCAUUUCAUCUGUAUCUGUUAAAUGAAUUGCUUUUCCCAGACAUCUAAUUUAUCCAGAGAACAUCUCCUUGGUCAGUAUUACAAAUUGUUUUUAUUUUCUUACACUUGCUUAUUAAUAAUUUUCCAUGUCAUGUCUGUCAUCAGAGAAGGAAGGUCACAUUCAAUAUUUCUCCAUUUCUCUUUUCUUUUUUCCCACUCAUACUCUAGAUUGAAAACUUAGCUAAGUAAAAACAAUUGGUUCAAAUCUUAUUUGAAUUAUGGACACAUUAUUCUCAGUAAAAUAAAUCUUGAGUUUAAAUCCCAUUAUCUUGUGUAAAUUUUUUUAAUUCAAUCUUGGCAAAACAUGCAUAUUUUAAAGAUAUGACCUAUAAUUUUUUCUCUUGACUUUUGUGUUUGGCAGGAGUUCACAGACUUUGCUAACAAUUUUAACAGAUAUGCUUUAAUUUAAUAACUACAAUUUGGUAAUUAGCUGGAGUCGCAUUUCAAAAUGCAAUUGAUAUGAUUUGGCUGGAUUUAUCUGUAUUCUAGAAAAUACAGGACAGUCGUAUAGAUACUGGUGUUGUUACUCUGUUCAUAUUCACACUUUUACCUUGCAUCAUUCCUGAGACACAGAAUUUUUGAUAUUCUGCCACAAUCUAUUCCCAAAACAUCACUGAUGACAAAACGAUAAUAAUCUUUGGAAACAUUUCCUCUCAAGUUCCAAAGUUUUCAGUCAGUAGAAAAAAAAGAAAGAAGACAAAAUUUUAAAGGUGCUGAGAAAAGCCCAGGGCUCACAGCUGGUUUCAGCAACUUCAACUUGCGUAAGACCCCGUGUUUGUGAAAACAACCCAAGAAUCUUUGAACAGGAUGUAAUCAACCUCCGAACUGCUGAGAAAUAUUGCAAAAAUGACUUCAGCUGCCAAAAAUAAUGUCGUUUACAAGCAGCUCUUCCUAUGUCUAAGGAAGAACUAGUCACACAUGCGAGUUUUUGCUGGCUUGAGAACAAGCAAGGAAAAAGACAAAUCCCACCUACCCUAGCCUAAAAUACACAGUGAGUCUCAGAACCCCGCGGAAGCUGUGGCUCAUUUCUAAAGGUGCUGGCAAUAUCGAGGAAGACUUGUAUCCACAAAAUUCCAAAUGGAAAAGAGAGAAAAGAGAACAACAAACAGAUGUGUGAAAAAAAGACACGAAGUACAAAACGGAUGUAUUAAUGGCAAAUAUUAAAUAAUCAAGUCAUUAUUGUGAAUUUGGAUCUAAAUGACCUGGCAGAAACCAUGGAGAUGAUCUUGGAUUUAAAGAGGAAAAACUCAAAGCAAUGUAUUCUGAUCAAGAAAUGGCAGGAAAUGGCAGCUACCUGAUAUGGAACAAUCAACAACUGAAGGUUUAUUUUGAAUGAGAGGUGUUGUCCAACUGCGAGACGGAGUGAUUGAAGCUGAGAAUAAAUGGAAACACAAUCAAUAGUCACUCCAGUGAGGUAGGAAAGAAAGCCAUUCCGAAGUGGCAGAGAAGCUGCUUUUUCCUCCUGCAUGCUGCCUGCUAGUGUGGAUCUUGGCAUAACAGACACUACUUGGCAAAAGAUCCAUCCUUCCUUUUCCUAUACUUUGCUCAGCGGCCUGGAAGAUUGACCUCAAAAGCAAAAUCACCUGGAUUUCCUUGCCAUUUGGCUUUCAAAUGUGCUCAGCCAAUGACAGGCUGGAAAGAAAUUGACAGCUGGGAAAAGAGGAAGAUUUGUGUACAAGAUCCCUUCCACUCCCAUCUCAUUACCUGCCAUGGUCCUAGCAGUGGCUGUUCUUAUUAUGGC